AUUGAACGCUGGCGGCAGGCCUAACACAUGCAAGUCGAGCGGAAGAAGGGAGCUUGCUCCUGGAUUCAGCGGCGGACGGGUGAGUAAUGCCUAGGAAUCUGCCUGGUAGUGGGGGAUAACGUCCGCAAACGGGCGCUAAUACCGCAUACGUCCUGAUGGAGAAAGUGGGGGAUCUUCGGACCUCACGCUCUCAGAUGAGCCUAGGUCGGAUUAGCUAGUUGGUGGGGUAAAGGCCUACCAAGGCGACGAUCCGUAACUGGUCUGAGAGGAUGAUCAGUCACACUGGAACUGGGACACGGUCCAGACUCCUACGGGAGGCAGCAGUGGGGAAUAUUGGACAAUGGGCGAGAGCCUGAUCCAGCCAUGCCGCGUGUGUGAAGAAGGUCUUCGGAUUGUAAAGAACUUUAAGUUGGGAGGAAGGGCAGUAAGUUAAUACCUUGCUGGUUUGACGUUACCAACAGAAUAAGCACCGGCUAACUUCGUG
RNAcentral lists this ribosomal RNA (484 nucleotides) under uncultured bacterium. Its description in RNAcentral is "partial 16S ribosomal RNA". It matches the Rfam family "Bacterial small subunit ribosomal RNA", at positions 30 to 507 of the family's 1533-position model. The record is from RNAcentral.